RNAcentral lists this ribosomal RNA (423 nucleotides) under uncultured bacterium. RNAcentral describes it as "bacterial SSU rRNA". It matches the Rfam family "Bacterial small subunit ribosomal RNA", at positions 358 to 773 of the family's 1533-position model. The record is from RNAcentral.
GGAAUAUUGGACAAUGGGCGCAAGCCUGAUCCAGCCAUGCCGCGUGUGUGAAGAAGGCCUUCGGGUUGUAAAGCACUUUCAGCGAGGAGGAAGGGGUGUGUGUUAAUAGCACAUAUCUUUGACGUUACUCGCAGAAGAAGCACCGGCUAACUCCGUGCCAGCAGCCGCGGUAAUACGGAGGGUGCAAGCGUUACUCGGAAUUACGGGGCGUAAAGCGAACGCAGGCGGCUUUUUAAGUCGGAUGUGAAAGCCCCGGGCUCAACCUGGGAAUUGCAUUCGAUACUGGGGAGCUAGAGUAUGUGAGAGGGGGGUAGAAUUCCAAGUGUAGCGGUGAAAUGCGUAGAGAUUUGGAGGAAUACCAGUGGCGAAGGCGGCCCCCUGGCACAAUACUGACGCUCAGGUGCGAAAGCGUGGGGAGCAAAC